Long non-coding RNA from Meleagris gallopavo (turkey), 1686 nucleotides. The record is from Ensembl. Lineage: Eukaryota; Metazoa; Chordata; Aves; Galliformes; Phasianidae.
UUUUUUGUAUACUAGCCACUUUUCUUUGUGUUUCUUCCUGUCUCCUUGCUGAACAUCUUAUUCUUUCUUCCUAACUUCAAGCUCUUUUGCCCAGUCCUAUUAGCUUUCCAUCUCCACAAAUUGGUGGCCUUGCUCUUCAAAAAGACUUAUCAACUCUUCCAAGUCUUUGCAAGCCCCUUGUCUUCUAACUGUUGAUUUAUCACUACAGUUCUAGAAUUUUUGAUUUUAGUCAACGUAGACUCUCACAAUGAAUCAUAUAUAACAUUAAGCAGGUUAGACUGAUGCUCAUUAAACUACAUUUUAGAAUUACAAACCACAAAUUCCUCUUACAGGUUUCUAGGUCUGUGAUUUAAUGAAGCAAUGGUAUUUUCUGCUUUCUUCAAGACAGUACUAUGGCAUCAUAUUUGUACUAGUUUUGGGGCAAGUGUCAGUAGUCUAGACUUGCUUAAUUUCUCUUUGCUACCUCAUGUUGCUCUUCUGUGUUGACUUCACAUAUCUGGUAUGUCAUGAGAUGAUUUAACUAGAGAUCAUGAAAUACUGCUUAAGCAGAAGAGGUGAUUUGAGGUUAUGCAAGCAACCUUGAUUUUUUUUUUUCCUGUUUUCUAACUUGUGAAACUUUUUCCUUACAAUUUUAUAAACAUUACUUUAAUGUAAUUUUUGCCUAAUAUAUAUAUGUUAUAGCUAAAUCUAUCUAUUUAAUAAGCAGUUUGAAAUAAUAUAUGUAGAUUCUUCUUUAUAUUCUUUUCAGUAAGUCAGUAGAGUUAAUUAACUUGAUAUGGAUCUUUUCCAGUUUGUAAGCAUUUACCAAAGAAUGGAUUUAGCAGUAUAUUUAUAUGGUACUCAGGAUGCCCUCUGUUGCAUGGUGGAUGGUUGCUCUUCAAACUGUUGUGUGAUUAGGAAUGUCAAUGCAGAGGGCAGAUAUGCUGAAAUCAGGAAAGAUAUCUAAGAAGACAUUUGAGAGCUCCUCUACUUGUGGAACAAAACUACAAGAGAAGCCUAUUUAAUUCUAUCUGAUUCUCUGAAACCAGUAUGAAGCUAUGAUUCAAGUUAAUGUUGUUAACAUCAUCCCUAUCUGAUUUGAGGUAAUCAAUUUAAUCUUUUUUUUUUUUUUUCCAGUGAGUUCCUCUGAUAAACUUCAGUCUUUAAGUAUAAAAGUAAUUUGCAAAAUCUUUUAGGUUUUCUAUUAGCCAUCAUAAUUAUAUUUAUUAAAUAGAUUCUUAUAUCUGAAUAUUUUCUCUUAAAUUCAACACCUCUUAGAAGCUGGAGACGGGGUUAAUAGAAACAACCUUAAAAGACUAAGGUUCUCAGUCACGUUUCUUAAGUAGUAGGUGGCAAAAAGUACAUUAGAUAAUAUUAUAUCAUUAUCCUCUGUGGAUGUUUCUAAUGGGAUUUCUUACUGACCUCUUUUAGUGCUAUUAGACACAUCAGCAAAAAACUGGAAGAAAAUAUAUGGACUUAUUACUGAGAAAAUGUACAAAUGGCAGCACAGCUGAUUGAACAGUAAAUAAUUAUGAAGGUAGCUCAUAUAUAUAUUUAUAUAUAUAGGUUUAAUUUGGUUUCUAUGGUGCUUCUUUUAGGGGGGAAAAAAAAAAAAGAAAAGCUCAGGUUUUAAAAAGGCCAAAUGCAAGAUUACAAGAUUGAAUGAAUGUAGGGCAAAUAUGAGAUGAUGUCCUGGAAACACACCAC